AUGUCUCUCGCAAGCUCCAGCGCCACCUCGCGGAUGCUGAGCCGAGCGCGUGUGGAGAUGCCUAUCUUCGUCUGUCUGUGGUGCCAGGCGAGCAUUGAUUGGAGGGUUUCUCACACACCGAGGAACCAGAAUCAUCCGUUCUAUUUGUGCAGCGAGAAUGGGGUGACAUGCUUCUUUCUUUGGGUCGAUGCUCUGGCCAAGACUCUGAUAAAUGAACUGCAAGAAGAGCAUGAAGAAUGGUUGCACAUGCUGCCCUGAACCGCAGUGGCCGCAUCACGAGCUUUGGAAGAAGAGAUGGAGGGCGAAGCACGCACUGACAGAGAGCUAGCUGUUGAGCUUAGGAUGUUGAAGAAGAAGGUUAGAAAGCUUGAAGAUCAAGCACUACCAAUACCCAUUUGCAAAUACUUUUGGGCAUUUGUAGGUAUAGUAAUCGCACUGGUUGUAAUGUUGAAAAUGUAUGGAAAGGCAUGCAUUAUGGAGGAAUUUGUAAUCUUGAAAUUGUAUGAGAAAUUCACCUAG
Molecule: ribosomal RNA, 519 nt
Filed under: Triticum aestivum (bread wheat)
Lineage: Eukaryota; Viridiplantae; Streptophyta; Magnoliopsida; Poales; Poaceae
Description: partial small subunit ribosomal RNA
Source: RNAcentral